Long non-coding RNA from Capsella rubella, 1117 nucleotides. RefSeq lists it as uncharacterized. NCBI's taxonomy places the organism in Eukaryota, Viridiplantae, Streptophyta, Magnoliopsida, Brassicales, Brassicaceae. The transcript is spliced from 6 exons. The record is from RefSeq and is a predicted model, not a curated record.
AGUUUUCAAACGGUGUCUCUUUCACUUUCCUUCGAGACAAACCGAUCGUAUCUAAAAUACAAGUACCUGAAUCGAACAUGAAGUUUUCAUCGCCUGAAAUUUAUAACGAUGUUGGCAUCUAGAAGAUUCAAGGAUGAUGGUGCAGCAAUCGAUUGGUUUCAGAAUAUUCAAGGAUGAUGGUGCAGCAAAUGAUGGUCCUGUAGAGCAUGCAAAGGUUUUCUUAUGUAAAUCGAUUGGGAUCAUUUCGAGAACUCUGGUUUUAAUUGGAUAAUUUUUUUUUGGGGAAGUGAUUCAGUUUUUAAACUCUAUUAUAUGGAAUGGUGGAUAACACCGGUUUAAGGACGAACAAAAUUGGAUUAGAAGGUAGAAUUUAUAUUCAACCGAACUAAGGAGUUUGUGUUUCAGAAUUCUUGCGGAUUCAAGUCACUUAUUAGCAUAUAAGAACUAUGCUUAGCUAAUUGAAUGAUUUUUGAAGUCUUUUAUAUGGCAUCGUUGACAUGUCCGGAUAAAGAACGCAGGACAUUAGACAAUAAGGUUUGUCUAAAUCGUAUCACCACAAGUUGAAGUGAAGCGUACGUGUAAAACAGCAAGCCUAGUUGCCCAGAUUCUGGAACACCUCUUUGAAGACAACGUUCUUUGUCUGUCUGUCAACCUUCCCUUCUUUGUUGACGAUUAAGAUUUUUAAUCCUUUCUUCGAAGUUACCCUAGAUAAAGCAACAUACAACUGACCAUGAGAAAAAAUUGGUUUAGGCAAAUAUAUACCCACAUGCUCUAGAGAUUGUCCUUGGCUUUUGUUGAUAGUCAUAGCAAACGCUACAGAAAGUGGAAAUUGUCUUCGUCUCAUCUUGAAUGGUAAUUUGGUGUCCGAUGGUGUAACAACAACCUGUGGAAUUAAGACUAUGUCUCCAAUCCGAUCACCUGUGAUAACUUUUGCUUCAACAACACGAUUAGCCAUUUGCGUUAUCUGAAGCCUAGUCCCAUUGCAUAAUCCACCUUUAGGAUCAAUAUUCCUAAGCAACAUAACAGGAGCUCCUAUUUUCAAUCGUAAAGCAUGAUGAGGCAAACCUGAGAGCUUGAUACUAUUCAAAAAAUCGUAAACUUAGCCAAAGACAAAAAG